GAUGAAGAACGUAGCGAAAUGCGAUAAGUAAUGUGAAUUGCAGAAUUCAGUGAAUCAUCGAAUCUUUGAACGCAUCUUGCGCUCCUUGGUAUUCUGAGGAGCAUGCCUGUUUGAGUGUCAUCAAAUUCUCAACCACUUCUUUUGAUGUGGCUUUGGAUAUGGGGGGAUUUCUUUUUUGCAGGCUUCUGAAAAACAAAGUCGGCUCCCCUGAAAUGUAUUAGUGGUGUCUGAGCAGGAGACUACUAUGGGUGUGAUAAAUCUAUCUAUGCCUUGGUACAACUGCUAUGCCGCUUCUAGCGAGUGCAUUUGACAAAUUUGACCUCAAAUCAGGUAGGACUACCCGCUGAACUUAAGCAUAUCAAUAAGCGGAGGA
Molecule: unclassified non-coding RNA, 373 nt
Filed under: soil metagenome
Description: partial contains 5.8S ribosomal RNA, internal transcribed spacer 2, and large subunit ribosomal RNA
Rfam family: 5.8S ribosomal RNA (bases 1-120)
Source: RNAcentral